Molecule: long non-coding RNA, 255 nt
Filed under: Oryza sativa Indica Group (long-grained rice)
Lineage: Eukaryota; Viridiplantae; Streptophyta; Magnoliopsida; Poales; Poaceae
Description: lncRNA OsMH63_06G026420
Source: RNAcentral
ACGACAAGAUCAGUCACAAUUAAGUUCACAAUACAACCUUUUCAUUUUGCCAGUUCAUUCGUUUGCCUAACUGUUGGUGUAACCAGCUCUGCAUUGCAUGGGAUUGGGAGGCACUGGGACACGCUAAGAUGCAAGAUCCUUGGCUUCCUCAAGUGCAUAGUGAAGUACAAGUUCUGGGACGUCGUCUCUGGCACUCUUUAUGUUGUUUUGAGUGUUUUAACACCUGGUAAUGUGGUUGGAUCUGUUUUAAUCUGA